This is a long non-coding RNA of Odocoileus virginianus texanus, 509 nucleotides long. RefSeq lists it as uncharacterized. The record is from RefSeq and is a predicted model, not a curated record. Lineage: Eukaryota; Metazoa; Chordata; Mammalia; Artiodactyla; Cervidae.
UAGCCAUGGAUGUCCUUUUGGUUCUCACCCUAAGAGCACUUUGGGCCUUUGUGAAUGCCAAUAUCUUCAAACUGAAUUCACAGACUUGUAGAACUCAUGAUCUUGAAGUGACCUUAGAAAUGAUUAAGUUAAUCAUUUACUUAUUCCAUAGAGUCAAGAAGAACUCAGGUAUCAAUCCCACAAGAAAUCAAACAAUUAACUCCAAAUUACCACUAAAGAUAAGAGAGAAGCAAAAACACUACAGAAUACUUGAGACUUACAUCAUGCCAGCCUGGCAACGGCAGAAGAUGAAAUGAUUUGAACAAUCUUGAUUGACCCUUUUGGAUCAUGACCUCAAUGGACAACCCAAGAAAGUAAUUGACACAAAUCCCUGAAGAUGUAUUUUGGACCUAACCUCACUUCAAUUACCAGAAGCAUGUGUCCUCUUCUUCCUGAAUUUCCAAAAUCUUCAGUUCUCUUCUAAGCUUGGAAUUCCACUUUAUAAUCAGUUUUAUUAUAAUCUUCUCAUA